This 465-nucleotide ribosomal RNA is filed under the name uncultured bacterium. Its description in RNAcentral is "bacterial SSU rRNA". It matches the Rfam family "Bacterial small subunit ribosomal RNA", at positions 8 to 456 of the family's 1533-position model. The record is from RNAcentral.
AGAGUUUGAUCCUGGCUCAGGACGAACGCUGGCGGCGUGCCUAACACAUGCAACUCGAACGGGAUCCACGCCAUGAAGUUUUCGGAUGGAUUGGUGUGGUGAGAGUGGCGAACGGGCGAGUAACGCGUGAGCAACCUACCUCGUACUGGGGGAUAACGUCGGGAAACCGGCGCUAAUACCGCAUAAGACUACGAUGCCGCAUGGCAAUGUAGUCAAAGCUCCGGCGGUACGAGACGGGCUCGCGUCCGAUUAGCUAGUUGGUAGGGUAAUGGCCUACCAAGGCGACGAUCGGUAGCCGGACUGAGAGGUCGGCCGGCCGCAUUGGGACUGAGACACGGCCCAGACUCCUACGGGAGGCAGCAGUGGGGAAUCUUGGACAAUGGGGGAAACCCUGAUCCAGCCAUUCCGCGUGUGCGAUGAAGGCCUUCGGGUUGUAAAGCACUUUUGGCGGGGAAGAAAUUGCGC